RNAcentral lists this small nuclear RNA (172 nucleotides) under Ovis aries (sheep). Its description in RNAcentral is "U4 spliceosomal RNA (multiple genes)". The stretch from base 1 to 77 matches the Rfam family "U4 spliceosomal RNA". Lineage: Eukaryota; Metazoa; Chordata; Mammalia; Artiodactyla; Bovidae. The record is from Rfam by way of RNAcentral.
AGCUUUGUGCAGUGGCAGUAUUGUACCAAUGAGGUUUAUCCAAGGUGUGAUUAUUGCUACUUAAAAAGUUGAUCAGUGCUGUGAUCCUAAUAGAUUUAAAAAAAUCACCUAACUUGGAAGACAGAGGUUUAAACAUGCAAUGUAUAUGGAACUGUGAAAAAUGGAUAUCCAU